Stegostoma tigrinum is the source of this 7418-nucleotide long non-coding RNA. RefSeq lists it as uncharacterized. The transcript is spliced from 8 exons. NCBI's taxonomy places the organism in Eukaryota, Metazoa, Chordata, Chondrichthyes, Orectolobiformes, Stegostomatidae. The record is from RefSeq and is a predicted model, not a curated record.
UCGUACGCGCAGUGGUAUGGUCCUUACUUGUGGACCAGGAGACCGUAUUUGCUGCAGAUGUGUGUGCACCGGCUUUAUUUUUAAAAAGUAGCAGAAUUUACAACUUUGGCUGUAGUUCAGCCGAAUUUUAUUCUUUCUUCACUGUAGGUAUGUAACCAACCUGUUUGGAAAACUUCAGAAGCAAGUGGCAGUUGAACCCAGUCCUUCAGAGGUGGAUGGAUGACCAGGAGAUUCUCCCACUCUUAGUGUUUGGAAGGAUUUACAGGCUGAUAACAACUUGUUUGUGGACACGUUACAAAUACACCUUCCACACCUAGCGUGCUGGCAUGGGACUCGAACCUACAGCUUCUGGCCCAGAGGAUGAGGGCGUCACUGGUGAGGCAACAUUUAUCGCCCAUCCGUAAUUGUCCAGAGGGCAGUUAAGAGUCACCCACAUUGCUGUGGGUCUGGAGUCACAUGUAGACCAGACCAGAAUUAUCUGGAUACUUAAAACCUCAGCAAGAAUGUGGGCAGGAAAUCUAUAAUAAAAUCUCUGCCUAGGACCACGUGAAAGCAGAUCUGUCACCAUGUAGAACUGCCUGGCUUGCGAAAUGGCUCAGAGUGGGCGCUCAGUGACGGAGGAAUCACAUUCUACUGAAUUCUUCAUCCAAACAUGGACAAAAGAGCUGAAUCGCGGAAGAGAAGUAAGAGUGACUGCUGUUGCCAUGAAGGAUCGAGUAUGGCUUUCAAGGAGUCCCAGCAAAAUUGAAGCCAAUGGAAUUGGGAGAAAUCUCCCCAGUGAUUGAAAUCAUGCAGAGCAGAAAGGAAGAUACUUGUGACUGUCAGAAGCCAAUCAUCUGAGUUCAUUCAUAUAGCCAUGGGAGUUUCUCAGAACCAACCUGGAUCCAAACUUAUAAUUAUAGAACUCCUAAAGGACCCUCUGAAGGACAUCCCACCUAGACCCACCCCCUACGCUGUCCCUGUAACUCGCAUUUCCUAUGGCUAAUCCACCUAGCCUGCGCGUGUGUGGACUGUGGCAAGAAACCAGAGAAAACCCACCGGACAUGGGGAGAAUAUGCAAACUCCACACAGAUAGUUGCCCGAGGGUGUAAUCGAACCCAGUUCCCUAGCCCUGUGAGGCAGCAGUGCUACCCACCAAGCCACCAUGCUGCCUUACUUUGGAAAUAUUUCAGUGUUGGAAUUCUAAAAGUACUGGAUUUUAUUCAGAACACAUGAAGUACAGGUUCCAGGGCUGGAUCCAGUUCCUCUCCCACAUUCUCCAUCAGACACGGUUUCCCAAAGCGGAUGGCAUUCUCCAGACUUCGCAGGAAAUCACGCAUCACCCAAUGUUGAAAUCAGGUUGGAUUCCUUUGUGUGCGGAAGACCAAGUGUAACAAAUUCUGCCAGCCAUUCUUCAUUCAUUGCUGCACGAUAUUCUCCCUAAAAGUUAAGUUGGGACAUCCAAAAAACUAAAUAGCAAUAUUGUAAUAACAGGGUCAACCCAAAUGGGCUGGGAUAACUAAUUUACAUUGGGAGUUCUUAAACUAUGUAACUGCACUUCUUCGGUAACUCUUAAAACUUGAUGGGUAGUUUAUCAAGAUAAUAAAGUGUGAAGCUGGAUGAACACAGCAGGCCAAGCAGCGCCAAACCUAUUAGAAUCAAAUAAAAUGAGUUUGUGUGCUCAAAAAUGGAGAGUAAAAGCCAUUUUAAUCUUGAAUCCCAAUGAGCAUCUGCUUAUAUCGUGUACCCAUUGUUAAGGCAACUUUUUUAAACAAUGUAUUGUGAAAUUGAAAAUUAAUGCUGUUUAGAUUACACACAAGGUGAAUAUGAGAAGAGCUCCUAUGAUGUCCCAAUGGUUCAAGAUAUCACAAUGAUUGAGCAGUGCUCUGUGCAGUAUUCUGGGUUAGGGUGACCCUAUGUAACAGACAAGCUUUAUUUGAAGUGAUGUGAAUGGUUUUGUACUACUCACCGUGAAAGGACCCAGGUAAGCCACAUACCCUCCUGCGAUUAGCACAUCCCCCACUACAUUAUUGAUCAUGUGGUUGAGGUUCUGGAUAGUUUCUUGCCAGCGGAUUUUCUCAUCAGACAGUCCAUUUAGUAGCUGUGGAAAACGAAUUGGAGGGAAAAGGGUAACUUCAAAAAAAACAUGCUAUACUCCAGAAUAGCAAACUGUCCUCUUGAAUAACAAACUAUGAAAUUUUAAAUAACUGGCAAUAUUUAUUUUUAUUUUUUAUUCAAUUAACUUUUAGCAACUGGAGAAAAUGAUUAAAUAAAUCUGAACAUUGAUUUUUUUUCUGUACUUUUCUUUCAAUUGCUAAGAUUCAUUAGGUUAGAAAUGAUUAUUAGUGAUAUUGUUGAAUGAGUCACUGCUUCACACCUUGAUAAGACACUCCUAUGCCCUGACAAUUGUUUAAAUUAAGCAUUCACCUACCAAUAUUAUUGGUAGUCAUUUUUAGCCUUGUGCAUUGAUUAAUUGUGAAGAAUUAUUUAAAAAGUUAAUAUAUUAGCUCAGAAGCAAGGAGGGAAUGAGGGUGAGAGAGAUCUGGUUUGAAGUUGAAAAAUCUGGAAGAAUGGGUUGCCCACGUGUCCUCCCAAAUUUAAAAGUCGAAUACGGCUAUCAGAGGUUGGUUGGCUGUUGAGCAGAUAAAUCUUUACUGCUUGGCUGCAGCCAGGCUGCUCACAAGACAGACAGAGGCUUCUGAGGUCUUCUUGAUUUGUUUGUUUUUCUUAUUUCUUUUACUGUGAAUGAUAACUACUCAGGAACUUGCAACUCAUACCUUACCUAAGUGUAUUUCCUUUUCUUGUUACAUUAUCACUUCCUUUGGUUUUUGACAAUUUAGUCAUUUAAUCAGUCCCACCCUUUAUGCUAUCAGAGUCCUUAUUCUUCUUCCCACCUUUCUGCCUUUCACUCACUUAAAAUCUAAUAGAUUUCUAACUUUCUCAGCUGAGAUAUAAGUUACAAACUGAACUUUUUUUCUGGAUUUUCUGUAGACGUCAGGACUCGACUGUCAGACCUGCACGGGGUCAGAAGGCUUGCUAUGUGAUGCACAGUCACUCACCCUGAUUUUCCUUAAAUUGAUUAAUUAGUGACUAUAGGGCUGCCAACAGAAGGCAUUCCAGAACUGAAGAAGCAGGAGCCAAUCUUCCAGGUUAAGUAAGGGUCCUCACCCUUAAUUAAUCUGAAAGACUGGCUCCUGCUAGAACUGGCUAACAGAAAAUAGAGAAUCGGAUUAAUGGAUCAAGUGUAUUGUAGCCAGACUUGCUGAUGAUGUGAAAUUUGGUAGAAAAGCAGGCUGAGUGGAGGAUACAAAAAAAAUGCAUGAAGGAUACAGAUAAGGCAAUCAAGUGAGCAAAAAUUUGGAGUAUUAUGGGAGAAAAAAGAAGUUUGUUGGGCAAAAUAGGAGUGCUGAAUAUUAUUUAAACAUGUAGCAUGCUAUGGUACAGAGGGACCUGGGUGUUCUCACAUGUGAUUGACAAAAGUCAACACAGCAAGGAAUAAGGAAGGCAACAAAUGUUGGCCUUUCAUACAAGGGAAGUGGAGUAUAAAAGUAGGGAAGUCUUUAUAUAACUGCUGAAGAUGAGAUCGCAUUUAAAUUCUUGUCUACUGUUUUGGCCUCUUUAUUUUAGGAGCGAUAUUUUUGCAUUAGAGGCAGUUCAGAGAAAGUUCACUACGGUGAUUCUUGGAAUUAAUUUGUUAUCUUACAAGGGAAGAAUUAGUAGAUGGGCCUAUACUCAUUGAAUUGUGAGAGGUGAUCUUGCUGGAAUAUGUGUGGAAAGCUUGGGAAAAUUCUUGCUGAGCAUUAUGCCUCUUGGCAUGCUGGUGAGAGAACUGUACUUCCUUUUGACCAGAAGGGCUUUUAAUAAAAUGCCAAUCAGGCAGUGCCUAGGCAGAACUCUUGGCUACUGACAGCUGCCAACCAACUGGGGUUAACACCACUUAUAUGUGGCAGUACCACAGUACAUAAUGAAUAAUGACCUGAGUGGGCAGAGUCAACAUAUAUAAAUGAAAGGGAAAUCAUGCUUGACAAACAUGCUGAGUUUUUUUUGAGGAAACACUAGGAGAAUGGAUAAGCUGGAACCAGUGGAUGUGGUAUAUUUGGAUUUUCAAAUAGAUUCUGAUAUUGUCCCAUACAGGAGCUGAAUAACCAAAAUUAGAGCAUGUGGACUAGUGGGUGAUAGGUUGAUAUGAUUGAGGUUUUGUUAAGAGAAAGAAAAUGGAGUUGAAAUUUAUAUAAAUGAGUCAUACUCAGGGCAUGGCAGGGUACUACAAGGAUCAAUGCUUGAACACCAACUAUUCACAAUCAUUUGGUGUGUUGUGUGUGUGUGUGUGUGUGUGUGUGUUUUUGUGUGUGUGAAGGCAAGAAUGUGGCAGACGGAGUAAGUAUGAGGUUUCAACUUUGCAAGUAGGAACGGAGGUGUAGAGUUUAUCUUAAAUGAUGAGAGAUUGAGAAGUGUUAAUGCUUAAAAGGAAUUUGGGAUCCUUGUUCAGAAGUCACUGAAAACUAACAUACAGGUGCAGCAAGCAAAUAGGAAGGUCAAGUGAAAUCAGGGAUUUAAGUAUAAGACUAAACUAGUCAUGCUACUUUUUUGUGGAACCUUGGUGAGACCACAACUAUGUAUUGUGAGCAGUUUUGGUUCAAAUACCUGAGGGAUGAUAUACUGACCAUAGGGGUAGUGCAGAGAAGGUUCAGCAGACUGAGUUGGUGGUACUGUCUAUGACAAGAGAUUCAGGAGGUUGGGCUGGUAUUCUCAGAAUAAAGGGCAAACCAUUUGGGACUUGGAUGAGGAGGAAUGUCUUUAUUCAGACAGAAAUGGAAUUUUCAGAUUUUCUACCCCAGCGAUGGUGGAAACUGGGUCAAUGAGUAUGUUCAGAGAUCAGUCGAUUUCUAGAUAAUAAUGAUAUCAAAAGGUAGGAGCUAGGCUGGGAAGUGGCACUGAGACAGAUGAUCAGCUAUGAUCUAGAAAGACAGAGCAGAUUUGAGAGCUAGAGAGGCUGAAUGGCUUACUCCUCCUAUGCUUCAAAGGUUAUUGCAGCUUCAGAAAAGCAAAGUUCAGGGAUUGGUCAGCAACUCAACAUAGGUGAGUAAUUUGGGAGUAUGGUAGGGGGUUGUGAGACACUGAUUUGAAAGAAAUAAAGAUGAAAGGGGUCAAUAGCAGGGAAUGACGUAUGGCUACACCCCUUCUGGAUCCUUUCAACAGCCAAUGAGUGUCUUUACUUGAAGGCUUUAGAAGUGACAAGCUUUCUGCAUGGUUUUAUUUAGCGGGCAUGCCGUAUAGGGUGACUUGCCCAUUGCAAAUGAGUUAAUACCAGCAACGGUGGGAUGAAAUCCUUUGUGGUCGCUAAUUGGCCGCUUAAGGGCACCAAUUGCUUGUCUGGUGGGAAAGUCACCUAUUGGCCUUCCCGCUCAGAACUAACUUCCAAAAGAGGUCGGUGCCGAGUAUGGUUCAGGGACAGCAUCAAAACACCUAAUUAAAUGCCCUUCCUGUUUCCAAUCCAAAUGCCAGCAACAGCCAAAGAUUCCACCCAUUUUCAUUCUAUUCUCCUCUUCACAGAUGCUGCCAGACCUUCAGAUUAUUUCUAGCAUUUCCUGUAUUUAUUCCAGAUUUUCAGCAUCUGCAGUAUAUGUUUUUAUAAAAGUAGGGAAGUCUUGCUUCAACUUUACACGUCUGGAAGACUGUGGUUAGUUUUAGCCUCUUUAUUUAAUCAGGGCUAUAUCUGCAUUGGAGGCAGUUCAGGGAGAUUGACUAGAUAGAUUUAUGGGAUGAAGGGUUAUCUUCUGUGGAAAAGAUGAGUUUAGAAGAAUGAGUGGUGAUCUUACUAAAACAUACAAGAUUCUGAGGAGGCUUGAAAGGGCAGAUCCUGAGAUGAAGUUUGCACUCAUGGAGGAAUCCAGAACUGUGCCAACUGUUUAAAAAUGAGCCAUCUCCCAUGCGAGAUGGAGAUAAGAAGAAAUUUCUUAGCUUAGUGGAUCAAUAGUCUUUGGAUUUCUCUUUUCUAAAAACUGGUUUAGGCUGUGUCAUUGAAUAUAUUCAAGUUGACUUAGAAUUUUGAUAUAUAGAGCUGUCAAGGGUUAUGGGAGGAAGGCAGCAAAAGUGCAGUUAAGACCAUUAACAGAAUCCACUGCAAUAAUAGUGAUUGAGGGGUCAAAUAACCUUCUGUUGCUCCUAGUUCUUCUGGUCCUAUUUAGUUCUGGUAAAAAAUAAAAGGAGAGUCAUUUUGGCUAACAGUAAUUUUAUAAUAAUUCAAGCAGAAAAAAUAGUCCAAGAAUUUCCUUGAAUUCUGUAGAGAACAACAAUACCAUGAGAUAGAGGCUUUGAAAGAUGUUUAUAGAGAUGGAUGUAGGUGGCCUUUAUAAUUGUGAGACAGAAGAUGGAAGUUGAUCUGAGGAUGAUAUGGAACAUUGACUUUGAGUGUGAUCAGGGUCCACUUGAUACAGUGGCUGAGAAGAGAAAUAAAAUUGAAAGUUUGUCCAGGGAGUCAUAGGCAACAGCUUUGAUCUUUGAAACAUUUAACAAUGUUGGGAAGUGGUCUGAUACCAGUAAGAGGAGAUGUUGGAAGAGGUGAUGAGGAAGAACUGGAUGUCAGGAAUGUACAUAAGGAACCUUUUGCCAUGUCUUUGGAUAAUGUCACCCUGCAGAUACGUCUUGAAGACUCCAAAAGAAAUAACACAGGUCUGGGAAGGCAGACAAUGCCUAGUGAUGCUUUGCAAUGGUUGGAUAUGAUGAGUUUUACUGCUCAGUAAUUAAUACCACAGAUACAAUCCAGUCUCCACAAAACAAAUGUUGUAAGAUGGCUGCAAAGAGACCUUAACUGGUCAGGAAACAGCUUAAAAGGAUCCAUGGGCAGCAUGGAAGAUCAAUGCCAAGUAAAGUCUAUAGUAAGAGUAGUUUCUGGUGAAUGUUUUCUCUUACCAUUCUUGCAAUAGGUCAUUAUCAUUAUUUAUCACUUACUGCUUGGUGUUGAAGAAUUAGAAUGUUGCCGUUAGUUAAGUUUACAUUCUCAAGAAUUUGAAGAACCAUUUAAGCACUUGGUUUACUAACAGCAGGUACAAAAUAGAAAUGUGGUGCUUAUUACCUUAUCAGCUCUGAUCAAUCUCUGCUCACACUGUUCACAUUUAUUUUCUAAUUCUUCUUUCUUUGUUAUACAGUCUAAGUAUUUUGCUUCAAGAGCAGCUAUUCCAAGUUCCACAUCCUCCAGACGGCUCUUUGCUUCCUCUAGAAUCUUCUGAGUUAUAUCCAGAUCUUCCUGAGCUUCACGGAGAGCUUGCUGUGUAAAAAGAAAUAAAUUAAUUAUUUGUUAAUCUAUUACCAGUAAAUACUGUGCUUUAGAAUUGCACAAAUAUUUCAUUAAAAUAUACAGCUCAUGUAUUGUUGAAAUAUUGCAGUGUAUCUGGACUAAAUCCUACAUAUGCUACAUGGAUAAUAAUAAUAAAAAUAAA